AGCUCUGAAUGCUGUUUCUCCUGGAGUACCAGGAGAAAAAAUCCCUUUCAGUGAGGUGAAGCUCUCUCCAAUCUUCUCGAAGUCAGGCAGAAGUUUGGCAAGGUCAUCGGCAUCAGGAAGGGCUUUGAUAAGUUUUUCUAAGUCAAUAUGCUCAUCAAGCUCCCAGAUGAAGUCAGGAAUAAUCCACUUAUAUUCAUCGAGAUCAGGCAUCAUGUCCUUCCACUGAUCAUAUGUCUUCUUAGCUGUGUAACCACCACCUACAGCAGAC
This 268-nucleotide long non-coding RNA is filed under the name Gallus gallus (chicken). Lineage: Eukaryota; Metazoa; Chordata; Aves; Galliformes; Phasianidae. The record is from RNAcentral.